CCUACGGGGGGCAGCAGUGGGGAAUUUUGGACAAUGGGCGAAAGCCUGAUCCAGCCAUGCCGCGUGCAGGAUGAAGGCCUUCGGGUUGUAAACUGCUUUUGUACGGAACGAAAAGACUCUGGUUAAAUACCUGGGGUCCAUGACGGUACCGUAAGAAUAAGCACCGGCUAACUACGU
RNAcentral lists this ribosomal RNA (177 nucleotides) under uncultured bacterium. RNAcentral describes it as "partial 16S ribosomal RNA". It matches the Rfam family "Bacterial small subunit ribosomal RNA", at positions 338 to 506 of the family's 1533-position model. The record is from RNAcentral.